UCUGAAUAAAUUGUUGCUUUCCAACAAACAGACCCUAAACCCAGUGUUUAGCAACUAACUCUGAUUUUCGCUGUUCCCGCUCACGCGUUACUCUGUUUCCCGCUCGCAUCACGCGCCCAGGUUUCUUCUUAUUCCAGACGCCUGCACACACGAUACAUUCCACGGCGCCGUCAACCUCCCCAGCACAGGGCACCACAGAUCUCCUCGCCUUGGAUCACCUCCGCGCAUCCAUAUUCUGGUCAGCGGCCCUCUAUCUCCCUCCAUCCUGUAUUCCAUUUGCAUUGUUUCUGCAAAAGUCAGGUCCUGCAAUCUCCUGUGCAUUUGUUCCCCAUGGAAGAGAUAAUAAAGUGCCAAAGAUUCUUUGAUUAUGUUGCUUCUAAUCAAACCAUUGACGUUGUAGCCCAUAUGUUCUUGCCAGCAUUGUUCCAUGAGUUGUAUCUUGUAUGAAUAAUUUAUUCAGAACCUGUUGUACAAUUGCAACUAGUAUGUAGCAUGUUGAUCAACUUCAUUUUGCAGUGUAUAUCGUCAUAUGUUGUGAUAUGUGACAGCUUAUAUUUAGUAAAUGGGUAACUGAAAUAAUUUUAUAUUCUGCCAUAUGUCCACUGCAGAAAGAUGUCUGCAACUACGAUAUCUAUGAUCCACCGCGAAGAUGAACAAUCAUACAAUGAACUUGACCACUUCAUGCUUUUCUUGAUGGGUGCAUAUCAGAAGAGGAAGCAAAAGCAGCGAAAAAGACAUCGAGGUUCAGUUUUUGGACACAAGGUUUACAAUCGAAG
RNAcentral lists this long non-coding RNA (776 nucleotides) under Zea mays. RNAcentral describes it as "long non-coding RNA (ZMAY_LNC000709)". The record is from RNAcentral. Lineage: Eukaryota; Viridiplantae; Streptophyta; Magnoliopsida; Poales; Poaceae.